Molecule: ribosomal RNA, 497 nt
Filed under: uncultured bacterium
Lineage: Bacteria
Description: partial 16S ribosomal RNA
Rfam family: Bacterial small subunit ribosomal RNA
Source: RNAcentral
GAUGAACGCUGGCGGCGUGCCUAAUACAUGCAAGUCGAGCGAACGGACGAGAAGCUUGCUUCUCUGAUGUUAGCGGCGGACGGGUGAGUAACACGUGGAUAACCUACCUAUAAGACUGGGAUAACUUCGGGAAACCGGAGCUAAUACCGGAUAAUAUUUUGAACCGCAUGGUUCAAAAGUGAAAGACGGUCUUGCUGUCACUUAUAGAUGGAUCCGCGCUACAUUAGCUAGUUGGUAAGGUAACGGCUUACCAAGGCAACGAUGGAUAGCCGACCCGAGAGGACGACCGGCCAAACGGGGACGUGACCAAGGCCGAGAGUCCUACGGGGGGCACCAGGGCGGGAUCUUGGACAAUGGUCUCAAACUUAAACCAGCAAUGAAGAGUGAAGUAUGAAGGUCUAAGGAUUGUAAACUGCUUUUGCACAAAACAAAAAGCACUCCCCGAAUAAACGAGGGUCAUGACGGUACCGAAAGAAUAAGCACCGGCUAACUACGUG